Molecule: long non-coding RNA, 463 nt
Filed under: Androctonus crassicauda
Lineage: Eukaryota; Metazoa; Arthropoda; Arachnida; Scorpiones; Buthidae
Source: RNAcentral
GAAAAGAAGGAAGUCGAUAAGUCCGGCGUGGAAUCCUCAUUUAAAUUAUUUAAAAGAUGGUUCGUAAAUCGAUCAUGAAUCCACUAAAGCCGCGUUUACACUGAGCGAACGAGCGAGCGAAUUGCUACGAACGUAUGCUCGCGUGUCCGACUGAUGUUCAGGAGAAGUGAAGUGCUGUUUGCACUGGGCGAGCUCAGUCGCUGUCUUAACGCGUUUUUAUCGAUGAUGUACGAUGGAAAUCUAUUACUAGCUAGCGCAACGUUUGUUAUUAGUUCUUCACUGAAAAAAAGGAGAAGAAGAAGAUAUUGGGUGUCAAAAUUUUUAAAGAAAAGAAGUUCACAACUCAGUCGUUUUUUUGAACGAACUAAAAUCUCAAUCGGAGGAUGAACGAUUUCAUAACUUUUGUAGAUGUAAUCAGGAAGAUUUUGAGCGUUUAUUACUAUUAGUACAAGUAACAAUAAGG